AAAGAAGAUGGUCCAUGAAGAGGUGGGGGCAGAGGAACCCUCUCUGGAGCAUUCCCUGACCGUUGACCCAAUAUGCCAAGCUCAAUGGUUGCUCCGUAUUGAGCAGGUAUUUCCAUCAAUGCUGCUAGAGCAAGAGCAAACUCUGUCUCUUUUCUGGAUUCAUUCACAUUUUUUGACAUUAUUUCUGUGAAAUUCACAAACUGAAAAUUAUCGAAGGCUCGAGCAGGGAUAUUAUCA
RNAcentral lists this unclassified non-coding RNA (237 nucleotides) under Hevea brasiliensis (rubber tree). Lineage: Eukaryota; Viridiplantae; Streptophyta; Magnoliopsida; Malpighiales; Euphorbiaceae. The record is from RNAcentral.